CUAGAUGUAAAAUUCUGAGGAAGCUUGGGCCGAGGAUAUUUCAUUAAGUAAAAAUGCUGUUCGCGGUCGCACCCGAUUGAGGACUACAGGUGUCAGAAUGGAAGACCCGGACCAGAGAAUCGAGCCGUUACAAGACCGCGCUACCCACCUUAAGAGUAAUCAAAGUUUUUUUGAUCUGCGGCGAGUAUGGUCGCAAGUAUGAGAGCUGGAGGAAUCGCCGCAAGGGCACCCCCAGGAGUGGAGCAAGCGGAAUUAUUUGAGUGAACAAGAAUGAACUCAUUGGGUCCACAAGCAGUAAAAAUUCACAGAAUGAGAGUUGUUUAUCGAUUCCUACAUGGGUCAUGCAUGGCUAAUUUUAGUUGCUGGAGCGUUCCGUGGGCGUGAUAGCCAUAACUCAGGCUCCCUUUCCGGACUAGAUCCUCAACUUGGCCUCACCCGGGAAUGUUUGGGUAGUAUUCUUAGAGGGACUGGAGGCUCCAAGCCUCAGGAAUCCGAGGGCACUAACAGGUAUCGGGCCAUGAGAUGUUAUCGGUCAUUCGCGAUCUACACAAAUCACCUCGAAGGAUUCAAUGCAUUUAUUUGUCAUAAACCGAACCGUUCAAACGUUGGGGUUUUUUGUUAUUAUUAGGUGGAGAAUUCAUUCGGGUAUCCAUGUUGAAAGGGGAAAUCAAAGAAGUAGUAAUUCAUCAUGAUGAGCUGGAUGCUGUUUUGCCUGUAUAACACA
This 724-nucleotide ribosomal RNA is filed under the name uncultured eukaryote. Its description in RNAcentral is "bacterial SSU rRNA". It matches the Rfam family "Eukaryotic small subunit ribosomal RNA", at positions 977 to 1668 of the family's 1831-position model. The record is from RNAcentral.